GAUGAACGCUGGCGGCGUGCCUAAUACAUGCAAGUCGAGCGAACGGACGAGAAGCUUGCUUCUCUGAUGUUAGCGGCGGACGGGUGAGUAACACGUGGAUAACCUACCUAUUAGACUGGGAUAACUUCGGGAAACCGUAGCUAAUACCGGAUAAUAUUUUGAACCGCAUGGUUCAAAAGUGAAAGACGGUCUUGCUGUCACUUAUAGAUGGAUCCGCGCUGCAUUAGCUAGUUGGUAAGGUAACGGCUUACCAAGGCAACGAUGCAUAGCCGACCUGAGAGGGUGAUCGGCCACACUGGAACUGAGACACGGUCCAGACUCCUACGGGAGGCAGCAGUAGGGAAUCUUCCGCAAUGGGCGAAAGCCUGACGGAGCAACGCCGCGUGAGUGAUGAAGGUCUUCGGAUCGUAAAACUCUGUUAUUAGGGAAGAACAUAUGUGUAAGUAACUGUGCACAUCUUGACGGUACCUAAUCAGAAAGCCACGGCUAACUACGUG
RNAcentral lists this ribosomal RNA (497 nucleotides) under uncultured bacterium. Its description in RNAcentral is "partial 16S ribosomal RNA". It matches the Rfam family "Bacterial small subunit ribosomal RNA", at positions 28 to 507 of the family's 1533-position model. The record is from RNAcentral.